Molecule: ribosomal RNA, 489 nt
Filed under: uncultured bacterium
Lineage: Bacteria
Description: partial 16S ribosomal RNA
Rfam family: Bacterial small subunit ribosomal RNA
Source: RNAcentral
AUUGAACGCUGGCGGCAGGCCUAACACAUGCAAGUCGAACGGUAACAGGAAGAAGCUUGUUUCUUUGCUGACGAGUGGCGGACGGGUGAGUAAUGUCUGGGAAACUGCCUGAUGGAGGGGGAUAACUACUGGAAACGGUAGCUAAUACCGCAUAACGUCGCAAGACCAAAGAGGGGGACCUUCGGGCCUCUUGCCAUCGGAUGUGCCCAGAUGGGAUUAGCUAGUAGGUGGGGUAACGGCUCACCUAGGCGACGAUCCCUAGCUGGUCUGAGAGGAUGACCAGCCACACUGGAACUGAGACACGGUCCAGACUCCUACGGGAGGCAGCAGUGGGGAAUAUUGCACAAUGGGCGCAAGCCUGAUGCAGCCAUGCCGCGUGUAUGAAGAAGGCCUUCGGGUUGUAAAGUACUUUCAGCGGGGAGGAAGGGAGUAAAGUUAAUACCUUUACUCAUUGACGUUACCCGCAGAAGAAGCACCGGCUAACUCCGU